RNAcentral lists this ribosomal RNA (254 nucleotides) under uncultured bacterium. RNAcentral describes it as "partial 16S ribosomal RNA". It matches the Rfam family "Bacterial small subunit ribosomal RNA", at positions 524 to 776 of the family's 1533-position model. The record is from RNAcentral.
GACGAACCGUGCGAACGUUAUUCGGAAUCACUGGGCUUAAAGCGCGUGUAGGCGGGACGGCACGUCGGUCGCUGAAAGCCCCCGGCUCAACCGGGGAACGGGCGCCGAUACGACCGCCCUGGAGGGACGUAGGGGGACCUGGAACUUCCGGUGGAGCGGUGAAAUGCGUUGAGAUCGGAAGGAACGCCCGUGGCGAAAGCGGCGUACUGGACCUCUUCUGACGCUGAGGCGCGAAAGCUAGGGGAGCAAACGGG